Camelina sativa (false flax) is the source of this 1252-nucleotide non-coding RNA. Lineage: Eukaryota; Viridiplantae; Streptophyta; Magnoliopsida; Brassicales; Brassicaceae. The record is from RefSeq and is a predicted model, not a curated record.
CUGAAAAACAAGAAGUGGCUCUCAAAAUUUCAUUCUCCCUCUAACCCUCGUUUACUCUCCCUCUCACUCAAUUAUUUCAUCUUCUCAAUCUUUUUCUCAAAAACAUUGAAGUAAACCACAUAUACUCAUCGAAAUCACUUGCUUUUUGGUCACCAAUUCGAAACCAUGCUUCUCCUCUGACGAAAUCCUCAAGGUACAGAUUACAGAAGAAGAUCUGUCUUAUAUCGAAACAACACCGGCAACGCCAGCACCUCUCAUGUUCAUCUGAUUCUUCCUCUUCUUACUCUGAUUCCUCCGGAUCUGUAGAUUUCUUUCUCGGCAAUUGAUGAUGGAAGGAAGAAGAAUCAUAGCAAACUCUAGACCUUGUGGCGGUAGAAGUGUUGUCGCAAAGAAGAGGUCUUGUCCAAUGGAUUCGUCAACAGCGGUAAAAAGCUCAACGCCGAGAAAUCUCGCCUCAUAUGGAUCGAGCUUUCUCAAUCAGCACCACUCAAGAGAGAUUCUGAGACAUGCGUCUCGUGGUAUGUUGUAUCAUCUUCUUCUGAUUUCUGAUUUCGAUUUUGGUUAAUUUUGCUCCUCAAACUUCGCCAAGUUCUUAAUCUUUUUUUUGUUGGGUUCUGGAUUCAACAACAAUAAAAUAAUCACAUACAAGUAUGUAUCAAAGCUAUGGAGGAAUACUCAAUUUAAUUUCAUAAGAUUUCUGCAGAUGCGUGGUGCAGACAACAACCUUCCUGUUGUUUUGUCAAGCAACCUUGCGACGUUCGUUGUUUGAUGCGUAUCUGCUCAACCACGAGGAAUUUGUGCAUGAAACCAGUUGGAGAAUGUGCUCAGCCCAAUUACAAAACUCCUCGAAGAAGAAUCAGAUCAAACAGAGUUCAGAUGAAAGAGUUACGCAAUUUACAAAAUAGGUGAUCUCCAGCUUACGCGAAUUCAGACAUACGCCCAUUCAAAGGAGGAUCCUGACCAUACUAGAUUGAAUUAAGCUACAAACCAAAUUGUUUUAGAAUUUUGGUCCAUCAGAGAAGCCCAACAAAGUGGAGUCAGCCCAAAAUCAAGAAGAAAAUAGAGAUUUUCGUCUAUUCUCAAAACAACACUUAACAAUGUGGUUUUCUCUCUCUUGCACGCACUUUAGAGUUUGAAUUUCAAUUCCCAAGUUAAUGCAUUCCCAAGUUGCUGACUGUUAUAGGAAAUUGUUGUAUCUCCUCUAUAUAAUGAGGCUUAAUUCAUGAAUGAAAAAUAAGUUUUGUUGUUGAGU